RNAcentral lists this non-coding RNA (1038 nucleotides) under Drosophila simulans. RNAcentral's name for it is "Eukaryotic large subunit ribosomal RNA". It matches the Rfam family "Eukaryotic large subunit ribosomal RNA", at positions 608 to 1570 of the family's 3401-position model. The record is from Rfam by way of RNAcentral. Lineage: Eukaryota; Metazoa; Arthropoda; Insecta; Diptera; Drosophilidae.
GGGGAUCCCACAAUGCGAAAGAUUCAGGAUACCUUCGGGACCCGUCUUGAAACACGGACCAUGGAGUCUAACAUAUGUGCAAGUUAUUGGGAUGUAAACCUAAUAGCGUAAUUAACUUGACUAAUAAUGGGAUUAGUUUUUUAGCUAUUUAUAGCUAAUUAACACAAUCCCGGGGCGUUCUAUAUAGUUAUGUAUAAUGUAUAUUUAUAUUAUUUAUGCCUCUAACUGGAACGUACCUUGAGCAUAUAUGCUGUGACCCGAAAGAUGGUGAACUAUACUUGAUCAGGUUGAAGUCAGGGGAAACCCUGAUGGAAGACCGAAACAGUUCUGACGUGCAAAUCGAUUGUCAGAAUUGAGUAUAGGGGCGAAAGACCAAUCGAACCAUCUAGUAGCUGGUUCCUUCCGAAGUUUCCCUCAGGAUAGCUGGUGCAUUUUAAUAUUAUAUAAAAUAAUCUUAUCUGGUAAAGCGAAUGAUUAGAGGCCUUAGGGUCGAAACGAUCUUAACCUAUUCUCAAACUUUAAAUGGGUAAGAACCUUAACUUUCUUGAUAUGAAGUUCAAGGUUAUGAUAUAAUGUGCCCAGUGGGCCACUUUUGGUAAGCAGAACUGGCGCUGUGGGGUGAACCAAACGUAAUGUUACGGUGCCCAAAUUAACAACUCAUGCAGAUACCAUGAAAGGCGUUGGUUGCUUAAAACAGCAGGACGGUGAUCAUGGAAGUCGAAAUCCGCUAAGGAGUGUGUAACAACUCACCUGCCGAAGCAACUAGCCCUUAAAAUGGAUGGCGCUUAAGUUGUAUACCUAUACAUUACCGCUAAAGUAGAUGAUUUAUAUUACUUGUGAUAUAAUUUUGAAACUUUAGUGAGUAGGAAGGUACAAUGGUAUGCGUAGAAUGUUUGGCGUAACCUGCAUGGAGCUGCCAUGGUACAAAUCUUGGUGGUAGAACAAAAAUCGAUGAGACUUGGAGGAUGAAGUGGAGAGGUUUCGUGUGAAAGUGGUUAUACGAGUAGUCGGCCUAGUCAGGAAAGCAAAUUUUAGUAA